AGUCGCUCCCCGAUGACAACGAAAUUGUUGAAGGCGAGUGGUUUGCGCCCGGUGACACC
Molecule: transfer RNA, 59 nt
Filed under: Prymnesium neolepis
Lineage: Eukaryota; Haptophyta; Prymnesiales; Prymnesiaceae
Source: RNAcentral